RNAcentral lists this long non-coding RNA (691 nucleotides) under Rattus norvegicus (Norway rat). Its description in RNAcentral is "long non-coding RNA NONRATT014247". The record is from RNAcentral. Lineage: Eukaryota; Metazoa; Chordata; Mammalia; Rodentia; Muridae.
UGGGAGUUGUUAGUACUGCUUAUUGCCAGGACAGAAACAGCUUUGGGGCCCAGGCACUUCCUGGGAAGGCGGUCUUGUUGGCGCUCACCUCUGGCCUUUUCUGCCCACCUAGAGCUGGUGGGCCACCCUCCCUCCUACUCUCUGAGGCUGAGAGGAAGCUGUCAGGGAGGCAAGGUGCACAUAGAUGGAUGCAGCCACGUCCCUGGCUCUGCAGGGACUAUAGACCUCAACGCCACCCUCCUCCUACCAGGCCAAGCAACCAGAGUUGGGAAUGGAUGGCUCCUUCCCCUGUCCUGCAACAGGGAAAGGCUCUUUGGUUUUUUUCCCCAGUGGCAAGUGUGAGUGGGCCAAGUUCUCUCCUCUUAACCUUCUGUAGCAGGCUGUUGAUAGGGACAGAAAUGCUAGCCCAUCCCACAGGCAGCAGACCAAGGGAUAAGCUGUUUGAAUCUGACUGCACUCUCUCUUCUUCUCCUGUGGCAGAGAAGAGGCAGGACAAUGGCCGGGUGUAUUACGUGAACCACAACACACGCACUACCCAAUGGGAGGACCCGCGGACGCAGGGAAUGAUACAGGAGCCAGCCCUGCCCCCAGGGUGGGAGAUGAAGUACACCAGCGAGGGCGUGCGGUACUUUGUGGAUCACAACACCCGCACUACCACCUUUAAGGAUCCUCGCCCAGGGUUCGAGUCAGG